RNAcentral lists this ribosomal RNA (261 nucleotides) under uncultured bacterium. RNAcentral's name for it is "partial 16S ribosomal RNA". It matches the Rfam family "Bacterial small subunit ribosomal RNA", at positions 524 to 784 of the family's 1533-position model. The record is from RNAcentral.
UACAGAGGGUGCAAGCGUUAAUCGGAAUUACUGGGCGUAAAGCGCGGGUAGGUGGUUUGUUAAGUUGGAUGUGAAAUCCCCGGGCUCAACCUGGGAACUGCAUUCAAAACUGACAGGCUAGAGUAUGGUAGAGGGUGGUGGAAUUUCCUGUGUAGCGGUGAAAUGCGUAGAUAUUGGGAAGAACACCAGUGGCGAAGGCGGCUCUCUGGUCCGAUACUGACGCUGAGGUGCGAAAGCGCGGGGAGCAAACAGGAUUAGAAA